UUAAGCGACUAAGCGUACACGGUGGAUGCCCUGGCAGUCAGAGGCGAUGAAGGACGUGCUAAUCUGCGAAAAGCGUCGGUAAGGUGAUAUGAACCGUUAUAGCCGGCGAUGUCCGAAUGGGGAAACCCAGUGCAAUUCGUUGCACUAUCGUUAACUGAAUACAUAGGUUAACGAGGCGAACCGGGGGAACUGAAACAUCUAAGUACCCCGAGGAAAAGAAAUCAACCGAGAUUCCCCCAGUAGCGGCGAGCGAACGGGGAGCAGCCCAGAGUCUGAAUCAGCUUGUGUGUUAGUGGAACGGUCUGGAAAGUCCGACGGUACAGGGUGAUAGUCCCGUACACCAAAAUGCACAGGUUGUGAACUCGAAGAGUAGGGCGGGACACGUGGUAUCCUGUCUGAAUAUGGGGGGACCAUCCUCCAAGGCUAAAUACUCCUGACUGACCGAUAGUGAACCAGUACCGUGAGGGAAAGGCGAAAAGAACCCCGGCGAGGGGAGUGAAAAAGAACCUGAAACCGUGUACGUACAAGCAGUGGGAGCACCUUCGGGUGUGACUGCGUACCUUUUGUAUAAUGGGUCAGCGACUUAUAUUCUGUAGCAAGGUUAACCGUAUAGGGGAGCCGCAGGGAAACCGAGUCUUAACUGGGCGUUAAGUUGCAGGGUAUAGACCCGAAACCCGGUGAUCUAGCCAUGGGCAGGUUGAAGGUUGGGUAACACUAACUGGAGGACCGAACCGACUAAUGUUGAAAAAUUAGCGGAUGACUUGUGGCUGGGGGUGAAAGGCCAAUCAAACCGGGAGAUAGCUGGUUCUCCCCGAAAGCUAUUUAGGUAGCGCCUCGUGAACUCAUCUUCGGGGGUAGAGCACUGUUUCGGCUAGGGGGUCAUCCCGACUUACCAACCCGAUGCAAACUACGAAUACCGAAGAAUGUUAUCACGGGAGACACACGGCGGGUGCUAACGUCCGUCGUGAAGAGGGAAACAACCCAGACCGCCAGCUAAGGUCCCAAAGUCAUGGUUAAGUGGGAAACGAUGUGGGAAGGCACAGACAGCCAGGAUGUUGGCUUAGAAGCAGCCAUCAUUUAAAGAAAGCGUAAUAGCUCACUGGUCGAGUCGGCCUGCGCGGAAGAUGUAACGGGGCUAAACCAUGCACCGAAGCUGCGGCAGCGACACUAUGUGUUGUUGGGUAGGGGAGCGUUCUGUAAGCCUGCGAAGGUGACCUGUGAGGGUUGCUGGAGGUAUCAGAAGUGCGAAUGCUGACAUAAGUAACGAUAAAGCGGGUGAAAAGCCCGCUCGCCGGAAGACCAAGGGUUCCUGUCCAACGUUAAUCGGGGCAGGGUGAGUCGACCCCUAAGGCGAGGCCGAAAGGCGUAGUCGAUGGGAAACAGGUUAAUAUUCCUGUACUUGGUGUUACUGCGAAGGGGGGACGGAGAAGGCUAUGUUAGCCGGGCGACGGUUGUCCCGGUUUAAGCAUGUAGGCUGGUUGUCCAGGCAAAUCCGGAUAAUCAAGGCUGAGGUGUGAUGACGAGGCACUACGGUGCUGAAGUAACAAAUGCCCUGCUUCCAGGAAAAGCCUCUAAGCAUCAGGUAACAUUAAAUCGUACCCCAAACCGACACAGGUGGUCAGGUAGAGAAUACCAAGGCGCUUGAGAGAACUCGGGUGAAGGAACUAGGCAAAAUGGUGCCGUAACUUCGGGAGAAGGCACGCUGGUGUGUAGGUGAAGUCCCUGCGGAUGGAGCUGAGACCAGUCGAAGAUACCAGCUGGCUGCAACUGUUUAUUAAAAACACAGCACUGUGCAAACACGAAAGUGGACGUAUACGGUGUGACGCCUGCCCGGUGCCGGAAGGUUAAUUGAUGGGGUUAUCCGUAAGGAGAAGCUCUUGAUCGAAGCCCCGGUAAACGGCGGCCGUAACUAUAACGGUCCUAAGGUAGCGAAAUUCCUUGUCGGGUAAGUUCCGACCUGCACGAAUGGCGUAAUGAUGGCCAGGCUGUCUCCACCCGAGACUCAGUGAAAUUGAACUCGCUGUGAAGAUGCAGUGUACCCGCGGCAAGACGGAAAGACCCCGUGAACCUUUACUAUAGCUUGACACUGAACAUUGAGCCUUGAUGUGUAGGAUAGGUGGGAGGCUUUGAAGCGUGGACGCCAGUCUGCGUGGAGCCAACCUUGAAAUACCACCCUUUAAUGUUUGAUGUUCUAACGUUGGCCCCUUACCGGGGUUGCGGACAGUGUCUGGUGGGUAGUUUGACUGGGGCGGUCUCCUCCCAAAGCGUAACGGAGGAGCACGAAGGUUAGCUAAUCCUGGUCGGACAUCAGGAGGUUAGUGCAAUGGCAUAAGCUAGCUUGACUGCGAGCGUGACGGCGCGAGCAGGUGCGAAAGCAGGUCAUAGUGAUCCGGUGGUUCUGAAUGGAAGGGCCAUCGCUCAACGGAUAAAAGGUACUCCGGGGAUAACAGGCUGAUACCGCCCAAGAGUUCAUAUCGACGGCGGUGUUUGGCACCUCGAUGUCGGCUCAUCACAUCCUGGGGCUGAAGUAGGUCCCAAGGGUAUGGCUGUUCGCCAUUUAAAGUGGUACGCGAGCUGGGUUUAGAACGUCGUGAGACAGUUCGGUCCCUAUCUGCCGUGGGCGCUGGAGAAUUGAGGGGGGCUGCUCCUAGUACGAGAGGACCGGAGUGGACGCAUCACUGGUGUUCGGGUUGUCAUGCCAAUGGCACUGCCCGGUAGCUAAAUGCGGAAGAGAUAAGUGCUGAAAGCAUCUAAGCACGAAACUUGCCCCGAGAUGAGUUCUCCCUGAGACUUUAAGUCUCCUGAAGGAACGUUGAAGACGACGACGUUGAUAGGCCGGGUGUGUAAGCGCAGCGAUGCGUUGAGCUAACCGGUACUAAUGAACCGUGAGGCUUAACCUU
RNAcentral lists this ribosomal RNA (2900 nucleotides) under Klebsiella pneumoniae. Its description in RNAcentral is "bacterial LSU rRNA". It matches the Rfam family "Bacterial large subunit ribosomal RNA". Lineage: Bacteria; Pseudomonadati; Pseudomonadota; Gammaproteobacteria; Enterobacterales; Enterobacteriaceae. The record is from RNAcentral.